CUGGCCCCGGUUCACGUACCCGCAAUCCGCGGAUGCGACCCGGCGCC
Streptomyces sp. DvalAA-14 is the source of this 47-nucleotide regulatory RNA element. It matches the Rfam family "L31-Actinobacteria ribosomal protein leader". Lineage: Bacteria; Bacillati; Actinomycetota; Actinomycetes; Kitasatosporales; Streptomycetaceae. The record is from Rfam.